This 458-nucleotide ribosomal RNA is filed under the name uncultured bacterium. Its description in RNAcentral is "bacterial SSU rRNA". It matches the Rfam family "Bacterial small subunit ribosomal RNA", at positions 917 to 1382 of the family's 1533-position model. The record is from RNAcentral.
GGGCCCGCACAAGCAGUGGAGUAUGUGGUUUAAUUCGAAGCAACGCGAAGAACCUUACCAGGUCUUGACAUCAGAUGCAUAAUCUAGAGAUAGAUGAAGUCUUUCGGGACAUCUAGACAGGUGGUGCAUGGUUGUCGUCAGCUCGUGUCGUGAGAUGUUGGGUUAAGUCCCGCAACGAGCGCAACCCUUAUUUUUAGUUGCUACGCAAGAGCACUCUAAAGAGACUGCCGUUGACAAAACGGAGGAAGGUGGGGAUGACGUCAAAUCAUCAUGCCCCUUAUGACCUGGGCUACACACGUACUACAAUGGUGAUAAACAGAGGGAAGCGACACGGCGACGUGAAGCGGAACCCAAAAAGUCAUCUCAGUUCGGAUUGCAGGCUGAAACCCGCCUGCAUGAAGUCGGAAUUGCUAGUAAUCGCGGAUCAGCAUGCCGCGGUGAAUACGUUCCCGGGCCUU